Pipistrellus kuhlii (Kuhl's pipistrelle) is the source of this 70-nucleotide long non-coding RNA. RefSeq lists it as uncharacterized. NCBI's taxonomy places the organism in Eukaryota, Metazoa, Chordata, Mammalia, Chiroptera, Vespertilionidae. The record is from RefSeq and is a predicted model, not a curated record. The transcript is spliced from 2 exons.
AUUUCACUAAGCGCCUAAGGAUCAGCACAGCUUGGAAUAAUGGAAUAGGACCGCGGUUCUAUUUUGUUGG